RNAcentral lists this ribosomal RNA (270 nucleotides) under uncultured bacterium. Its description in RNAcentral is "partial 16S ribosomal RNA". It matches the Rfam family "Bacterial small subunit ribosomal RNA", at positions 32 to 311 of the family's 1533-position model. The record is from RNAcentral.
AAUCAACGCUGGCGGCGCGCUUAACACAUGCAAGUCGAACGAGAAAGGGGAGCAAUCCCUGAGUAAAGUGGCGUACGGGUGAGUAACACGUGGAUUAUCUGCCCUUGAGUGGGGAAUAACGAUGGGAAACCCGUCGCUAAUACCGCAUAUUCCCGAGAGGGGAAAGCAGCAAUGCGCUCAAGGAGGAGUCCGCGGCCGAUUAGCUUGUUGGUAGGGUAAUGGCCUACCAAGGCUUCGAUCGGUAGCCGGCCUGAGAGGGCACACGGCCAC